CCUACGGGUGGCUGCAGUGGGGAAUAUUGGACAAUGGGGGCAACCCUGAUCCAGCCAUGCCGCGUGUGUGAAGAAGGCCCUCGGGUUGUAAAGCACUUUCAGUGAGGAAGAACGCCUGGUGGUUAAUACCCAUCAGGAAAGACAUCACUCACAGAAGAAGCACCGGCUAACUCCGUGCCAGCAGCCGCGGUAAUACGGAGGGUGCGAGCGUUAAUCGGAAUUACUGGGCGUAAAGCGCGCGUAGGUGGCUUGAUAAGCCGGUUGUGAAAGCCCCGGGCUCAACCUGGGAACGGCAUCCGGAACUGUCAAGCUAGAGUGCAGGAGAGGAAGGUAGAAUUCCCGGUGUAGCGGUGAAAUGCGUAGAGAUCGGGAGGAAUACCAGUGGCGAAGGCGGCCUUCUGGACUGACACUGACACUGAGGUGCGAAAGCGUGGGUAGCAAACAGGAUUAGAUACCCCCAGUAGUC
RNAcentral lists this ribosomal RNA (466 nucleotides) under Vreelandella stevensii. RNAcentral's name for it is "partial 16S ribosomal RNA". It matches the Rfam family "Bacterial small subunit ribosomal RNA", at positions 338 to 795 of the family's 1533-position model. The record is from RNAcentral. Lineage: Bacteria; Pseudomonadati; Pseudomonadota; Gammaproteobacteria; Oceanospirillales; Halomonadaceae.